Molecule: ribosomal RNA, 887 nt
Filed under: Nematoda environmental sample
Lineage: Eukaryota; Metazoa; Nematoda
Description: SSU rRNA
Rfam family: Eukaryotic small subunit ribosomal RNA
Source: RNAcentral
UAAAAUCUACUUGAUCUUGACACAAUCCUACUUGGAUAACUGUGGUAAUUCUAGAGCUAAUACAUGCAUUAAAGCUCUGACCUCACGGGAAGAGUGCACUUAUUAGAACAAAACCAAGCGGCUUCGGCUGUUUCUGGUUGACUCAUAGUAACUGAGCUGAUCGCACGGUCUUGCACCGGCGACGUGUCUUUCGAGUAUCUGCCGUAUCAACUUUCGAUGGUAGUGUAUCUGACUACCAUGGUGAUCACGCGUAACGGAGAAUAAGGGUUCGGCUCCGGAGAGUUCGCCUGAGAAAUCGCGAACACAUCUAAGGAAGGCAGCAGGCGCGAAAAUUACCCACUCUCAGCACGAGGAGGUAGUGACGAAAAAUAACGAGACCGUUCUCUUAUGAGGCCGGUCAUCGGAAUGGGUACAAUUUAAACCCUUUAACGAGUAUCUAUGAGAGGGCAAGUCUGGUGCCAGCAGCCGCGGUAAUUCCAGCUCUCAAAGUGCAUAGAAUUAUUGCUGCGGUUAAAAAGCUCGUAGUUGGAUCUGUGCCAUAGGACGUGGUCCACCUUCUGGGUGCGUACUAUGUUCCUAGGCUUUUUGCUGGUUUUCCCGUCGUAGCCUUAACUGGUUGCGGCGGGUGGCUGGCGAGUUUACUUUGAGAAAAUCAGAGUGCUCAACACAGGCGUAUCGCUUGAAUGAUUGUGCAUGGAAUAAUAGAAAAGGAUUUCGGUCCUCUUUUAUUGGUUUUGUGGACUGAGAUAAUGGUUAACAGGGACCAACGGGGGCAUUCGUAUCGCUGCGUGAGAGGUGAAAUUCUUGGACCGUAGCGAGACGCCCUACUGCGAAAGCAUUUGCCAAGAAUGUCUUCAUUAAUCAAGAACGAAAGUCAGAGGUUCGAA